RNAcentral lists this ribosomal RNA (460 nucleotides) under uncultured bacterium. Its description in RNAcentral is "partial 16S ribosomal RNA". It matches the Rfam family "Bacterial small subunit ribosomal RNA", at positions 338 to 795 of the family's 1533-position model. The record is from RNAcentral.
CCUACGGGAGGCAGCAGUGAGGAAUAUUGGUCAAUGGGCGCGAGCCUGAACCAGCCAAGUAGCGUGAAGGAUGACUGCCCUACGGGUUGUAAACUUCUUUUAUAAAGGAAUAAAGUGAGGCACGUGUGCCUUUUUGUAUGUACUUUAUGAAUAAGGAUCGGCUAAAUCCGUGCCAGAAGCCGCGGUAAUACGGAGGAGCCGAGCGUUAUCCGGAUUUAUUGGGUUUAAAGGGAGCGUAGAUGGGUUGUUAAGUCAGUUGUGAAAGUGUGCGGCUCAACCGUAAAAUUGCAAUGGAUACUGGCAGCCUUGAGUACAGUUGAGGUAGGCGGAAUUCGUGGUGUAGCGGUGAAAUGCUUAGAUAUCACGAAGAACUCCGAUUGCGAAGGCAGCUUACUAAACUGCCACUGACAUUGAUGCUCGAAAGUGUGGGUAUCAAACAGGAUUAGAUACCCCAGUAGUC